Molecule: ribosomal RNA, 772 nt
Filed under: Vibrio parahaemolyticus
Lineage: Bacteria; Pseudomonadati; Pseudomonadota; Gammaproteobacteria; Vibrionales; Vibrionaceae
Description: partial 23S ribosomal RNA
Rfam family: Bacterial large subunit ribosomal RNA
Source: RNAcentral
GCACGUACGCCAGUAUGUGUGGAGCCGUCCUUGAAAUACCACCCUUGUAGUGUUGAUGUUCUAACGUCGACCCCUUAUCGGGGUUGCGGACAGUGCCUGGUGGGUAGUUUGACUGGGGCGGUCUCCUCCCAAAGAGUAACGGAGGAGCACGAAGGUGGGCUAAUCACGGUUGGACAUCGUGAGGUUAGUGCAAUGGCAUAAGCCCGCUUGACUGCGAGAAUGACAAUUCGAGCAGGUGCGAAAGCAGGUCAUAGUGAUCCGGUGGUUCUGAAUGGAAGGGCCAUCGCUCAACGGAUAAAAGGUACUCCGGGGAUAACAGGCUGAUACCGCCCAAGAGUUCAUAUCGACGGCGGUGUUUGGCACCUCGAUGUCGGCUCAUCACAUCCUGGGGCUGAAGUCGGUCCCAAGGGUAUGGCUGUUCGCCAUUUAAAGUGGUACGCGAGCUGGGUUUAGAACGUCGUGAGACAGUUCGGUCCCUAUCUGCCGUGGGCGUUGGAAGAUUGAAGGGGGCUGCUCCUAGUACGAGAGGACCGGAGUGGACGAACCUCUGGUGUUCGGGUUGUGUCGCCAGACGCAUUGCCCGGUAGCUAAGUUCGGAAUCGAUAACCGCUGAAAGCAUCUAAGCGGGAAGCGAGCCCUGAGAUGAGUCUUCCCUGAUACUUUAAGUAUCCUAAAGGGUUGUCGGAGACUACGACGUUGAUAGGUCAGGUGUGUAAGUGCUGUGAGGCAUUGAGCUAACUGAUACUAAUUGCCCGUGAGGCUUAACCAUACA